This 607-nucleotide long non-coding RNA is filed under the name Pan troglodytes (chimpanzee). RNAcentral's name for it is "long non-coding RNA NONPTRT002540". Lineage: Eukaryota; Metazoa; Chordata; Mammalia; Primates; Hominidae. The record is from RNAcentral.
AGGAUACGGAGUUUUUUUGUAGGCGAGGGCCUCAAGUUUCUCCUUGGCAGAAUGGUAAUAUAAUCACUACUCCCCAGGCAGCUGAGAAGAUUAAAGGCACUCAUAUCUCUGAAGAAAGCUUGAUAUGAACAAGGAAGUACGUCACCCUCAGUGCUGUUGGCAGCCUUCCUGUGACCAUGAGGAGAGUCAGCUUCAAGAUGAUCCUUUGGAUAAAAGAGCAAAGAAUCAGAAAGAUCCUGGUUCCUUGAUGACUUCAACAAGCCAUUAGGUCAAUCAACAUCCUGAAAUUUGCUCUAUUUCUGGAUUCUAGUUAGUCAGCUGCUGUGUCAUGAGGGCACUCAAACAGCCCUAUGAAGAGGUCCAUGUGGUAAGGAACUGAGGACUUCUGCCAACAGCCAGCACUAACUUGCCAGGUAUGUGAAUGUGCCAUCUUGGAAGCAAGUUCUCCAACUCCAGACAAGCUCUCUAAUAACUGUGGCCCCAGCUGACAUCUUGACUGCAACCCCACGAGGGAAUCUGAGCCAGCACCACCAAGCUAAGCCACUCCUAAAUUCCUGACUUGCAGAAAAUGUGUGAAAAUAAAUGUUUAUUGUUUUAAGCCAUUCAG